UGGCCAUGUGCUCAUGAUCCAU
This 22-nucleotide non-coding RNA is filed under the name Mus musculus (house mouse). Lineage: Eukaryota; Metazoa; Chordata; Mammalia; Rodentia; Muridae. The record is from RNAcentral.